GACGAACGCUGGCGGCGUGCCUAAUACAUGCAAGUCGAACGCAGUGGGGACGGGGUAGGAACACAUGGGUAAUCUCCCAUCAGAGGGGAUAACACUUGGAAACAGGUGCUAAACCGAUACUGAUGGAUGGACUCGCGGUGCAUUAGCUAGUUUGUGCGGUAACUGCUCACCAAGGCCACGCUGCAUACGCGAGCUGAGGGGGCGGUCGGCCACACUGGGACUUGUACACGGCCCAGACUCCGACGGGAGGCAGCAGUAGGGAAUCUUAGGCAAGGGACGAAAGUCUGACCGAGCAACGCCGAGUGAGUGAAGAAGGUCUUCGGAGCGGAAAACUCGGUUGUUAGAGAAGCGUUAUCUACCCAGAAAGCCACGGCUAACUACGUGCCAGCAGCCGCGGUAAUAC
RNAcentral lists this ribosomal RNA (403 nucleotides) under uncultured bacterium. Its description in RNAcentral is "partial 16S ribosomal RNA". It matches the Rfam family "Bacterial small subunit ribosomal RNA", at positions 28 to 526 of the family's 1533-position model. The record is from RNAcentral.